GAUGAACGCUGGCGGCGUGCCUAAUACAUGCAAGUCGAGCGAACAGACGAGGAGCUUGCUCCUUUGACGUUAGCGGCGGACGGGUGAGUAACACGUAGGUCACCUACCUAUAAGACUGGGAUAACUUCGGGAAACCGGAGCUAAUACCGGAUAAUAUUUCGAACCGCAUGGUUCGAUAGUGAAAGAUGGCUUUGCUAUCACUUAUAGAUGGACCUGCGGCGUAUUAGCUAGUUGGUAAGGUAACGGCUUACCAAGGCAACGAUACGUAGCCGACCUGAGAAGGUGAUCGGCCACACUGGAACUGAGACACGGUCCAGACUCCUACGGGAAGCAGCAGGAGGGAAUCUUCCGCAAUGGGCGAAAGCCUGACGGAGCAACGCCGCGUGAGGGAUGAAGGUCUUCGGAUCGUAAAACUCUGUUAUUAGGGAAGAACAAACGUGUAAGUAACUGUGCACGUCUUGACGGUACCUAAUCAGAAAGCCACGGCUAACUACGUG
This 497-nucleotide ribosomal RNA is filed under the name uncultured bacterium. RNAcentral describes it as "partial 16S ribosomal RNA". It matches the Rfam family "Bacterial small subunit ribosomal RNA", at positions 28 to 507 of the family's 1533-position model. The record is from RNAcentral.